CUUGGUCAUUUAGAGGAAGUAAAAGUCGUAACAAGGUUUCCGUAGGUGAACCUGCGGAAGGAUCAUUAAAGAGUAAGGGUCUCCGGGCCCGAUCUCCAACCCUUUGUUUAAUUACCAUGUUGCUUUGGCGGGCCCGUCUCGCGACCGCCGGAAGUUUGGUCUCAACCAGACUUCUGGCCCGUGCCCGUCAGUGGCCCCUUCAAAUUCUUGAUUAAAUAUGAUGUCUUAGUUAUAAACUUAAUAGUUAAAACUUUCAACAACGGAUCUCUUGGUUCUGGCAUCGAUGAAGAACGCAGCGAAAUGCGAUAAGUAAUGCGAAUUGCAGAAUUCAGUGAGUCAUCGAAUCUUUGAACGCACAUUGCGCCCUUUGGUAUUCCGAAGGGCAUGCCUGUUCGAGCGUCAUUAUCAACCCUCAAGCCUGGCUUGCUGUUGGACCUCUCGUCGUUAAAGACGGGUCCUAAAGUUAAUGGCGGAGUCAUCGGACCCUAGAUGCAACGAGCUCUCGUAGCACGCAUUUAAGGGGCUGGCGGCUCUAGUCUCAACCCAUAUCAUUUACAAGGUUGACCUCGGAUCAGGUAGGAAUACCCGCUGAACUUAAGCAUAUCAAUAAGCGGAGGA
This 618-nucleotide ribosomal RNA is filed under the name uncultured fungus. Its description in RNAcentral is "eukaryotic LSU rRNA". The stretch from base 249 to 402 matches the Rfam family "5.8S ribosomal RNA". Lineage: Eukaryota; Fungi. The record is from RNAcentral.